Pistacia vera is the source of this 1946-nucleotide RNA transcript. It is a transcript of the gene named cyclin-T1-3-like, with no coding region annotated. The transcript is spliced from 9 exons. Lineage: Eukaryota; Viridiplantae; Streptophyta; Magnoliopsida; Sapindales; Anacardiaceae. The record is from RefSeq and is a predicted model, not a curated record.
UUAGAGUAUAGAAACAAUUAAACAUUUAAACGGUUAACUUAAAGUCAGCUAGGGUUUCUUGUCAUUAACACACCGACAUUACACUUGCCUUCAAUCAGCUUUAGCUUCAGCUUCAGGAAGUAUUAUUUAUGGACAAAUAUUUUAUCAGUCUUUCUCAAUCAACACCGAAUAAGUCUCAAAUUUGCAAAUAAUCAUGAGAGUUUGUAAAGCUUCAUUUUAUUAUGAAGCCUUAUAAGCCCAUUGCUAUGAAGGAAUCAGUUUGGCCAUCUAUGUACAUGGUCAAGUCCAUCAAAAAUACUUCUGACACCUGCAACAAUAAAUUUUCAUGGGGAAGGAGUCAUAUAAUGAAACUUGCUUAAGUUUGAGGAACUUCUAUUGAGCAGCUGCUGGUAUAUCAUUUCAGAAUUUAUUUAGUUGUUUGAAGAGAAAGGUGCCAAUGACAGAACAGUUGCUAGAAGAGCCUCAGUUUUGUAUGCGCAAAUGGUACUUUAGUAGGGAAGAAAUUGAAGAUUUUUCACCAUCUAGAAAGGAUGGCAUCAGCCUCGAGAAAGAAUCGGAAUUACGAAAGCUGUAUUGCUCUUUUCUUCAAGAGCUUGGAAUGAAACUUAAAGUGCCUCAGGUGACAAUAGCAUGUGCUAUGAUGUUAUGCCACCGGUUCUUCAUGCGCCAGUCUCAUGCAAAGAAUGAUUGGCAGACAAUUGCAGCUGUCUCAACAUUCCUUGGUUGUAAAAUAGAAGAAACCCGAUGCAUUUUGGGGGAUGUGGUUGUCAUGUCUUACGAGAUAAUGUAUAAAUGGGACCCUUCCGCCUCACAGAGAAUUAGACAGAAUAGAGAAAUUUACAUGAAGCAAAAGGAAUUAGUCUUAAGAGGGGAGAGGCUUUUACUGGCAACAAUUGCUUAUGACUUUGAUAUUCAACUUCCCUACAAGCCACUUGUAACAGCUUUAAAGAGAUUGAAGCUUUUCCCUGACCUUGCAAAAGUAGCUUGGAAUUUUGUGAAUGAUUGGCUUUGUACAACUUUGUGCUUGCAGUACAAACCCCACUAUAUUGCGGCUGGUUCCAUGUUCCUUGCUGCCAAAUUUCAAAAAGUGAAACUUCCUGCACAGAAGGGAAAGUGCUGGUGGCUGGAGUUUGAUAUUUCACCCAAGCAAUUAGAAGAGGUCAUCCGGCAGAUGCUCAAGUUGUUAGAGCAGGACAGAAAACAGACACUACCACCGAGACAUGAAAGGUUCACUCAGUCUACAGCUUUAGCUGGAAAGAUGAACAUGAACAGUAGUCCACAAUCUUGCAUCUCAGAUGGUUCCAUUGCCAGAAGGCAAUCUAGCAACAUAGCCACGUUGGAGAAUGAUGGACUCAGCAAAUCUCUGGCCUGUGUUGGAAAGAACGUUUAUGUAAAAGAAGUUUUACCAUCUCAAACAAGUGAUAGUGCUUCAAGUAGCAUCAUUGAGGAUGGAGAAGGUGAUAGUCAUCCUAGAACAGUGGAAUCUGAUCAUGACCCUGGCUGCAAAAUUAUUUCUGUUCAUGACAGCUACACUAAGAUUGAUGCUAGUCGAAUUAGAGAGGCAUUGAAGAGGAGAAGACUUGAUGGAGCCGCAAAUAAAAAGUUUUCAGAAGCUAUUAACCCUGAGAUAGAUGGUGAAGCCUGGAUAGAGAGAGAACUGGAAAACGGAAUAGAGCUGGAAUCUGCCUCUUCAAAAAGGAAAAGGGGGGAAGUAUUGUGAAUUUCUAACACAUUGACCUCUGUCUGGAAAGUGUAAUUUUUUAUUGAAAUUUGGGACAGACAGACAGAAACAAACUCGUACAGUCGUACUUAUACUGGCACUUUAAUUCCGUGGCUUUCAGCGUGACUCCAGUACUAAAGUCUAAACUGCCACAUCGGACAUCUUUUACAAUAAAACCUCUCCGAAUUUGGGCAACUCUUUUCUAAGAUCUUUAGUAGUCCUAUUU